UGCCAGCAGCCGCGGUAACACGUAGGACCCGAGCGUUAUCCGGAUUUACUGGGCGUAAAGCGCGUGCAGGUGGUUUAGUAAGUUAGAUGUUAAAGCUCCGGGCUUAACCCGGAGAGGUCGUUUAAAACUGCUAGACUUGAGGACGGUAGAGGAAGGUAGAAUUCCGUGUGUAGUGGUGAAAUGCGUAGAUAUACGGAGGAAUACCAGUGGCGAAGGCGACUUCCUGGGCCAAUACUGACGCUGAGGUGCGAAAGCGUGGGGAGCAAACAGGAUUAGAUA
RNAcentral lists this ribosomal RNA (279 nucleotides) under uncultured bacterium. RNAcentral describes it as "partial 16S ribosomal RNA". It matches the Rfam family "Bacterial small subunit ribosomal RNA", at positions 506 to 784 of the family's 1533-position model. The record is from RNAcentral.